UGAGGAAUAUUGGUCAAUGGACGCAAGUCUGAACCAGCCAAGUAGCGUGCAGGAUGACGGCCCUAUGGGUUGUAAACUGCUUUUAUAUGGGGAUAAAGUGGGGAACGUGUUCCCUUUUGCAGGUACCAUAUGAAUAAGGACCGGCUAAUUCCGUGCCAGCAGCCGCGGUAAUACGGAAGGUUCGGGCGUUAUCCGGAUUUAUUGGGUUUAAAGGGAGCGUAGGCCGUUUGGUAAGCGUGUUGUGAAAUGUAGGAGCUCAACUUCUAGAUUGCAGCGCGAACUGUCAGACUUGAGUGCGCACAACGUAGGCGGAAUUCAUGGUGUUGCGGUGAAAUGCUUAGAUAUCAUGAAGAACUCCGAUUGCGAAGGCAGCUUACGGGAGCGCAACUGACGCUGAAGCUCGAAGGUGCGGGUAUCGAACAGG
RNAcentral lists this ribosomal RNA (424 nucleotides) under Verrucomicrobiota bacterium. Its description in RNAcentral is "Verrucomicrobia bacterium partial 16S ribosomal RNA". It matches the Rfam family "Bacterial small subunit ribosomal RNA", at positions 355 to 776 of the family's 1533-position model. The record is from RNAcentral. Lineage: Bacteria; Pseudomonadati; Verrucomicrobiota.